Molecule: small nuclear RNA, 79 nt
Filed under: Homo sapiens (human)
Lineage: Eukaryota; Metazoa; Chordata; Mammalia; Primates; Hominidae
Description: partial ncRNA
Source: RNAcentral
AGAGAAUCGCUUGAAUCCGGAAGGCAGAGGUUGCAGUGAGCCACGAUCGCUCCACUGCACUCCAGCCUGGGUGACAGAG